AAUUCCCAGAAAGAAAGAGUUAUUAAAAGAAACCAGACAAAUCCACAAAUGGUCUCCCUCAAUGACAUCUAAAACAUAUCACUAGCUUGUGUUAUUGUUAUCACUUAUAUUGCAAUAGUGCCUGCAUCCUUCUUACCAGAUCUGGACCCCAUUGUGCUAGGCAUGGUACAAACAUAUAGCCAACACCAGUCUAACAUCAGCUCAAACUGGGAAGCAGUCUGAUCCAACAGACUGAGCAAUGGACUGGGAGCCUGGGACCACAAACACCAAUUCUUCCUCUUCCACCAACUUAUGUGACCCUGGGUGAGAAAUUUUACUUCUCUGUGCCUGUUUUCCCAUCUGCAAAAUGGGAAUUUUGAUACUUACCCACCUCACAGAACAAUUUUAUGCUUGUAAAAUAAAUUUUAAAUAUUAACAAAAUUUUAAAAUUUUAUUUUUACCAAGCCUAAAUUUGGGGUCUAAGGUGCUUAGGAGUGUCCCUUUAAAUCUCAGAAUGAGAAAGAAGCCAAGGGAGGCUUUAUUGUUCUGAAAUUGCAGGCACUAUCUGCCCCAUUGUCAUCAACUAGGAGAAGAGGGAAAUAAAGAAAGACUGGCCUUCCUGUUUAGGAAAUGUGUUUAGUAUUUCUGAUGGGUUGUUGAUCAAAGACCAAGAAAAGAAUAAAAUCUUCUCACUUUUAGCAUUAAAAUGACACUUCUACUUAAAAACAAUAGUGACUCUUGGGUGGCGGAAGGGAAGAAUGGAUUGCAGCUUUUUCCUCCUCUUGGCCAACUUGAACACCAAACAGGAUGGACCUUCUCCUGAAACCUGUGUACGCACAUACUCUGGAUUGGGAUCAGGGCUAGACUUUACUAAAACUGGGUCACCAUUUCUUAAAAUAUUCUAUCUUGGAGGGGACUAGACAGCUCAGAGUGGCUGCUAAGUACUUUCUAAAAUCAGGCCCCUCUGAUAUGUGUCACACUGGGUACCCAAAAAAUG
Dermochelys coriacea (leatherback sea turtle) is the source of this 976-nucleotide long non-coding RNA. RefSeq lists it as uncharacterized. The record is from RefSeq and is a predicted model, not a curated record. The transcript has 2 exons. NCBI's taxonomy places the organism in Eukaryota, Metazoa, Chordata, Testudines, Dermochelyidae.